CUCCUACGGGGGGCAGCAGUGAGGGAUAUUGGUCAAUGGGGGAAACCCUGAACCAGCAACGCCGCGUGAGGGAAGACGGUUUUCGGAUUGUAAACCUCUGUCUUCUGUGAAGAUAAUGACGGUAGCAGAGGAGGAAGCUCCGGCUAACUACGUGCCUGCAGCCGCGGUAAUACGUAGGGAGCGCGCGUUGUCCGGAUUUACUGGGUGUAAAGGGUGCGUAGGCGGGUAAGAAAGUCAGACGUGAAAUCCAUGGGCUUAACCCAUGAAUUG
Molecule: ribosomal RNA, 270 nt
Filed under: uncultured bacterium
Lineage: Bacteria
Description: partial 16S ribosomal RNA
Rfam family: Bacterial small subunit ribosomal RNA
Source: RNAcentral